This 396-nucleotide ribosomal RNA is filed under the name uncultured Pseudomonas sp. RNAcentral describes it as "bacterial SSU rRNA". It matches the Rfam family "Bacterial small subunit ribosomal RNA", at positions 987 to 1382 of the family's 1533-position model. The record is from RNAcentral. Lineage: Bacteria; Pseudomonadati; Pseudomonadota; Gammaproteobacteria; Pseudomonadales; Pseudomonadaceae.
UGCAGAGAACUUCCAGAGAUGGAUUGGUGGCCUUCGGGAACUCUGACACAGGUGCUGCAUGGCUGUCGUCAGCUCGUGUCGUGAGAUGUUGGGUUAAGUCCCGUAACGAGCGCAACCCUUGUCCUUAGUUACCAGCACGUUAUGGUGGGCACUCUAAGGAGACUGCCGGUGACAAACCGGAGGAAGGUGGGGAUGACGUCAAGUCAUCACGGCCCUUACGGCCUGGGCUACACACGUGCUACAAUGGUCGGUACAAAGGGUUGCCAAGCCGCGAGGUGGAGCUAAUCCCAUAAAACCGAUCGUAGUCCGGAUCGCAGUCUGCAACUCGACUGCGUGAAGUCGGAAUCGCUAGUAAUCGUGAAUCAGAAUGUCACGGUGAAUACGUUCCCGGGCCUU